GGGCUUCAGCAGCACAUAUACUAAAAUUGGAACAAUACAGAGGAGAUUAGCAUGGCCCCUGUGCAAGGAUGUCACGCAAAUUCGUGAAGUGUUCCAUAUUUUU
This 103-nucleotide small nuclear RNA is filed under the name Varanus komodoensis (Komodo dragon). Lineage: Eukaryota; Metazoa; Chordata; Lepidosauria; Squamata; Varanidae. The record is from RNAcentral.